AAUGGGGGAAACCCUGAUCCAGCCAUGCCGCGUGAGUGAUGAAGGCCUUAGGGUCGUAAAGCUCUUUCGCCAGAGAUGAUAAUGACAGUAUCUGGUAAAGAAACCCCGGCUAACUCCGUGCCAGCAGCCGCGGUAAUACGGAGGGGGUUAGCGUUGUUCGGAAUUACUGGGCGUAAAGCGCACGUAGGCGGACUGUUAAGUUAGAGGUGAAAUCCCGGGGCUCAACCCCGGAACUGCCUUUAAUACUGGCAGUCUAGAGUUCGAGAGAGGUGAGUGGAAUUCCGAGUGUAGAGGUGAAAUUCGUAGAUAUUCGGAGGAACACCAGUGGCGAAGGCGGCUCACUGGCUCGAUACUGACGCUGAGGUGCGAAAGUGUGGGGAGCAAACAGGAUU
This 392-nucleotide ribosomal RNA is filed under the name uncultured Gammaproteobacteria bacterium. RNAcentral's name for it is "bacterial SSU rRNA". It matches the Rfam family "Bacterial small subunit ribosomal RNA", at positions 370 to 779 of the family's 1533-position model. The record is from RNAcentral. Lineage: Bacteria; Pseudomonadati; Pseudomonadota; Gammaproteobacteria.